UUGGAUACUCCAGAGAGUAGACUUGGGUCCUGCAACUGAAGCUACAUUUAUGUGAAUUUUUAAUACUUUGUCUUUUUGCCUUUUCUUCUGCUGAAGAGCCACGUGGUACUUGGAGUUAUAGUAUCACUGAAGAAAUAGGAAAAUUAAAGGGUUUUCCCGGUAAGCCAGUGGGAGAGCAGAAUAUGUCUAUAAAUGGAAAUACUUUCUCCAAAAACCCUGGUAUUAAAGUUAUACCCAAUAUUAAUAUGUUUUAAAAACACAGAUCUCCCAAGUUGA
This 276-nucleotide long non-coding RNA is filed under the name Bos taurus (domestic cattle). Its description in RNAcentral is "long non-coding RNA NONBTAT007333". The record is from RNAcentral. Lineage: Eukaryota; Metazoa; Chordata; Mammalia; Artiodactyla; Bovidae.